GGGCCCGUAGCUCAGCCAGGUUGGAGCGCCCGGCUGAUAACCGGGAGGUCCCGGGUUCAAAUCCCGGCGGGCCCACCA
Molecule: transfer RNA, 78 nt
Filed under: Vulcanisaeta distributa DSM 14429
Lineage: Archaea; Thermoproteati; Thermoproteota; Thermoprotei; Thermoproteales; Thermoproteaceae
Also listed under: 2 other names
Description: tRNA-Ile (GAT) (tRNA-Ile-GAT-1-1)
Rfam family: tRNA
About the family: Transfer RNA (tRNA) molecules are approximately 80 nucleotides in length. Their secondary structure includes four short double-helical elements and three loops (D, anti-codon, and T loops).
Source: RNAcentral